Long non-coding RNA from Pararge aegeria (speckled wood butterfly), 244 nucleotides. RefSeq lists it as uncharacterized. The transcript has 2 exons. The record is from RefSeq and is a predicted model, not a curated record. NCBI's taxonomy places the organism in Eukaryota, Metazoa, Arthropoda, Insecta, Lepidoptera, Nymphalidae.
UAUACAAAUAAUUAUAUUCCUGUAUUGUGAUUUUUGUAAUAACAAAUAAGCUUAUUGCUACGGAUUGCAUGUCACUCAUUAAAAUACUCAUCAGAAUAUUAUAUAAAAGAUAACUACAGACGUUUCGACGAAGAACUGCUUACUGUACCUACCUAUUUUAUUUCAAGAACAAUUGGAAAACCGUUAGAAUUAAGAUUUACUUUUAACAGUGGUAAGAAGGUGCCUUCCUAUAAUAUUUCAACUA